This 253-nucleotide ribosomal RNA is filed under the name uncultured prokaryote. Its description in RNAcentral is "partial 16S ribosomal RNA". It matches the Rfam family "Bacterial small subunit ribosomal RNA", at positions 525 to 777 of the family's 1533-position model. The record is from RNAcentral.
ACGAAGGGGGCGAGCGUUGUUCGGAGUUACUGGGCGUAAAGGGCGCGUAGGCGGCGAUCCAAGUUAGGCGUGAAAGCCCCGGGCUUAACCUGGGAAUUGCGCUUAAGACUGGACUGCUUGAGUGCGGGAGAGGUGAGUGGAAUUCCCAGUGUAGAGGUGAAAUGCGUAGAUAUUGGGAGGAACACCAGUGGCGAAGGCGGCUCACUGGACCGGUUCUGACGCUGAGGCGCGAAAGCGUGGGGAGCAAACGGGA